UACGGAGGGUGCAAGCGUUAUCCGGAUUCACUGGGUUUAAAGGGUGCGUAGGUGGGCAGGUAAGUCAGUGGUGAAAUCUCUGGGCUUAACCCGGAAACUGCCGUUGAUACUAUCUGUCUUGAAUAUAGUGGAGGUGAGCGGAAUAUGUCAUGUAGCGGUGAAAUGCUUAGAUAUGACAUAGAACACCCAUUGCGAAGGCAGCUCGCUACACUAUUAUUGACACUGAGGCACGAAAGCGUGGGGAUCAAACAGG
RNAcentral lists this ribosomal RNA (253 nucleotides) under uncultured bacterium. RNAcentral describes it as "partial 16S ribosomal RNA". It matches the Rfam family "Bacterial small subunit ribosomal RNA", at positions 524 to 776 of the family's 1533-position model. The record is from RNAcentral.